UACGUAGGGUGCAAGCGUUGUCCGGAAUUAUUGGGCGUAAAGAGCUCGUAGGCGGUCUGUCGCGUCGGCUGUGAAAACCCGGGGCUCAACCCCGGGCCUGCAGUCGAUACGGGCAGACUAGAGUGUGGUAGGGGAGACUGGAAUUCCUGGUGUAGCGGUGAAAUGCGCAGAUAUCAGGAAGAACACCAAUGGCGAAGGCAGCUCUCUGGGACGGUACUGACGCUGAGACGCGAAAGCGUGGGGAGCGAACAGG
This 253-nucleotide ribosomal RNA is filed under the name uncultured bacterium. RNAcentral's name for it is "partial 16S ribosomal RNA". It matches the Rfam family "Bacterial small subunit ribosomal RNA", at positions 524 to 776 of the family's 1533-position model. The record is from RNAcentral.